CUCGCAUGUAUGGCGCGUGGACAAGGUGACUUAGCCAAUAAGCUUAUGCGUGAUCGCGUGUACGGAAGUAAAACAAACAUAAAUGUAGCCAUAGAAGCUUCAAUAAACGGAGUUCUGCUUUACCUACAUCGUGUCGGUGUUCUUGCUCCCCUCCACCUGGCCGCUGCACUGUGGUGACCCCGACGUGAUACUGCACGGACGCUGCGGACGAGAGAAGGUGGAGACAUCCCGGCUGCUAGGAAAGCAGGCUGCUCGAGAAGCAGGAUCCUUGUUGUGGCCACGGCUGACCGGUGAGUCAGGCAGACUGCGGUCUGGACGGGAUGGGUGCCGCUGUAUCAGCGAUAGAACGAGCUACAGUCGACGGGUUGCUCAGUGUAGCGAAAAGGACUGGGCACACGCUCCCUCGAGCUGAGCUCGUGGACUUCUUGUAUUGGUGUCGGAGACGUGGUCUCUUGACUUCUUCUGAUCAAUUGUUUGAUAUCGAACAUUGGGAAAAGAUUGGGUCUGAAUUAUGGCAAAGUGUGCAGAACGGCCAAAAGGGGAGCAAGCAGAUGGCGCAGAUCUUCCGAAUAGUUCGGGAGAUGAUUCAACAAGUCCAUGCUGAUGCUGAAAUCGCCACUGCUUUGCAAAAAGCCCUCGAUUGUUCUACACAGCCGAAGGAAAAGGAAAAAGACGAGGAGGGAAAGGACAGUUGUUCGACGUUGAUAGACUGGGAGGCAAAAUCUGAUCCUCCCUCAUCGUACCCCCCACUAGCAGCGCCUAUGUUUCGGGGAGAGUUUGAGGAUCUCAUUCCCCCUUGGACCCCUAACGAGAUUUCUGCUGGGACAGCUGCUGCGCCUUCUGCGCCCCCUCCCCCGGAGGCUAUGGAGGUUGAUCCAGCUAAAGUACCGUUACCGGAGGACGGAAAAACGUCCCCUCAGAAUCCUCUUGUCGAUGAGCUACGGUUGCAACGAGAGCAGAUGGCUAAGUUGCUGGGGGCAAUGCAAGAAAUAGACUCUAAAGGGUGGGACGAACAGCCUUGUUUGGUAUGUCAAAGUGAGCUCUGUUUUUCCUGGGUUGC
RNAcentral lists this long non-coding RNA (1060 nucleotides) under Manacus vitellinus (golden-collared manakin). RNAcentral describes it as "lncRNA (ENSMVIG00005002452.1)". The record is from RNAcentral. Lineage: Eukaryota; Metazoa; Chordata; Aves; Passeriformes; Pipridae.